GAUGAACGCUGGCGGCGUGCUUAACACAUGCAAGUCGAACGGUGAACACGGAGCUUGCUCUGUGGGAUCAGUGGCGAACGGGUGAGUAACACGUGAGCAACCUGCCCCUGACUCUGGGAUAAGCGCUGGAAACGGCGUCUAAUACUGGAUAUGUGACGUGACCGCAUGGUCUGCGUUUGGAAAGAUUUUUCGGUUGGGGAUGGGCUCGCGGCCUAUCAGCUUGUUGGUGAGGUAAUGGCUCACCAAGGCGUCGACGGGUAGCCGGCCUGAGAGGGUGACCGGCCACACUGGGACUGAGACACGGCCCAGACUCCUACGGGAGGCAGCAGUGGGGAAUAUUGUACAAUGGGCGCAAGCCUGAUGCAGCAACGCCGCGUGAGGGAUGACGGCCUUCGGGUUGUAAACCUCUUUUAGCAGGGAAGAAGCGAAAGUGACGGUACCUGCAGAAAAAGCGCCGGCUAACUACGUG
Molecule: ribosomal RNA, 469 nt
Filed under: uncultured bacterium
Lineage: Bacteria
Description: partial 16S ribosomal RNA
Rfam family: Bacterial small subunit ribosomal RNA
Source: RNAcentral